GUUUGAUUCUGGCUCAGAUUGAACGCUGGCGGGAUGCUUUACAUGCAAGUCGAACGGCAGCACGGACUUCCAGUCUGGUGGCGAGUGGCGAACGGGUGAGUAAUGUAUCCGGAACGUGCCUAGUAGCGGGGAUAACUACGCAGCGUAGCGGGCAUACCGCACUUGCGGCGGGGGAAAGCGGGGAGCCUUCCGGGCCUCGCACUAUUAAAACGGCCGAUAUCGGAUUAGCUAGUUGGUGGGAAGUAACGGCUCACCAAGGCGACGAUCCGUAGCUGGUUUGAGGACGACCAGCCACACUGGGACUGAGACACGGCCCAGACUCCUACGGGAGGCAGCAGUGGGGAAUUUUGGACAAUGGGGGAAACCCUGAUCCAGCCGCCCGCGUGUGCGAUGAAGGCCUUCGGGUUGUAAAGCGCUUUUGGCAGGAAAGAAACGGCACGGGAUAAUACCCCGUGUAACUGACGGUACCUGCAGAAUAAGCACCGGCUAACUACGUGCCAGCAGCCGCGGUAAUACGUAGGGUGCAAGCGUUAAUCAGAUUACUGGGCGUAAAGCGUGCGCAGGCGGUUCCGGAAGAAAAGAUGUGAAAUCUGAGCUUAACUUUGGAACUGCAUUUUUAACUACCGAGCUAGAGUGUGUCAGAGGGAGGUGGAAUUCCCGCGUGUAGCAGUGAAAUGCGUAGAUAUGCGGAGGAACACCGAUGGCGAAGGCAGCCUCCUGGGAUAACACUGACGCUCAUGCACGAAGAGAAAGCGUGGGAGCAAACAGGAUUAGAUACCCUGGUGGUCCACGCCCUAAACUGAUGUCAACUAGCUGUUGGGGCCUUCGGGCCUUGGUAGCGCAGCUAACGCGUGAAGUUGACCGCCUGGGAAGUACGGUCGCAAGAUUAAAACUCAAAGGAAUUGACGAGGACCCGCACAAGCGGUGGAUGAUGUGGAUUAAUUCGAUGCAACGCGACCUUACCUACCCUUGACAUGUCUGGAAUCCGAAGAGAUUUGGGAGUGCUCGCAAAGAGAACCGGAACCACAGGUGCUGCAUGGCUGUCGUCAGCUCGUGUCGUGAGAUGUUGGGUUCCAGUCCCUCAACGAGCGCAACCCUUGUCGUUAGUUGCUACGAAAGGGCACUCUAUAAUGAGACUGCCGGUGACAAACCGGAGGAAGGUGGGGAUGACGUCAAGUCCUCAUGGCCCUUAUGGGUAGGGCUUCACGUCAUACAAUGGUCGGGACAGAGGUCGCCAACCCGCGAGGGGGAGCCAAUCCCAGUGAUCGUAGUCCGGAUCGCAGUCUGCAACUCGACUGCGUGAAGUCGGAAUCGCUAGUAAUCGCGGAUCAGCAUGUCGCGGUGAAUACGUUCCCGGGUCUUGUACACCGCCCGUCACACCAUGGGUAGGUUUUACCAGUAGUUAGCCUAACCGUAAGGAGGGCGAUUACCACGGUAGGAUUCAUGACUGGGGUGAAGUC
Molecule: ribosomal RNA, 1460 nt
Filed under: uncultured Bordetella sp.
Lineage: Bacteria; Pseudomonadati; Pseudomonadota; Betaproteobacteria; Burkholderiales; Alcaligenaceae
Description: partial 16S-23S ribosomal RNA intergenic spacer
Rfam family: Bacterial small subunit ribosomal RNA
Source: RNAcentral